AUAUAUAUAUAGAGAGAGAGAGAGACAGAGAGAGAGAGAGAGAGAGAGAGAGCUAGGCUCCUAUGCUUUCGAAAAUAUGGAGGUCUCCGUGCUUAUAAGUUGUUUCCAAUGAUGGGACGUCCGAUUCGGCGAUCGGUUCUGUUAAAAAUGAUCUACGCUAUUGGAACUAUCUAGAAAUCAAAUUUCAUAAUUUUUUGACUUCGUUUGUCUAGUGAACGAGGAGCCUCAAAAUGAACGGCUGAAAAUAAAAAUCUCAUAAAAAAUAAUGGUAAAUGACUUAAAUUUCAAAUCGGAAGUAUUGUUUUUACUCUUGAUGUUAAGUAGAAUUUUCUAUUAAAGUUUCAUAUAAUUUGGAUAGUUCUACACCGUUGAACUUAAAAACAUGCCACAUCGGCCGUUAAAAUAAUCAUUUUUGAGACCCUGUGAUCGCUUGGUAAAUGAUGUCGAAAAAUUAUAAAAUUUGGUUUCUAAAUAGUUCCAAUAGCAUAGAUUAUGCCUACCGGAGCCGAUCAUCGAAUCGGAUGUCCUAUCAUCGAAAACAACUUACAAAUACGGAGGCAUCCGUACUUUCGAAAGCAAGGGAGAUGUACUAUAUAUAUAUAUAUAUAUNAUUUUACAAUUAUUUUAUAAAUUUAAAUAUUUAUUAGGGACCAAUUCAAGACAGAGGAUUUGAUAGGAGCGUUCAAUUUUUUUCACCGCACCCAUCCCGAAACGAUUUAAAGUUUUUUUAAAAAAACUAUCUUUUUUUACUACUUCCAAUCCCAUCCUAAAACGAUUUCAACUUAGUUAAAAAAAAAAGAAAACUUCAAAUAUUCCUCUUAUGGUUUCCCAUUUUCUCACUUUAGUACUCUAUGAUUUAAAGUGUAUCAAGUUAGUACUAUGUGGUUUUACAUUUUUUCACUUUAGUACCCUAUAAUUUAAAGUGUAUCAAGUUAGUAUCCUAUGAUUUCGCACUUUAUCACUUUAGUACUCUGUGAUUUCGCACUUUAUUUAAAACCACUGGGAGUAUAACUUGAUACAAAAAUAAAAUCAGAGAGUACUAACUUGAUACACUUUAAACCACAGGGUACUAAAGUGAUAAAGUGAGAAAUCAUAUGGUACUAAUUUGAUACACUUUAAAUUAUAGAGUACUAAAAUGAAAAAGUGCGAAACUACAGGGUACUCUAUAGUUUUUUUUUUUUUUCAUCAACGCAUCUGUUAACUCUUUGUAAAAUCAUAUACAAAAAAAUUUCAGAUACCGAAUUUUCACUUCAGUAUUAUGUAGUUUUAAUUUUAUCACUAAUUUAAUGAAAAAAUUAAUGAAGAAGAUAACGGAAGAAGAAAAAUGAAACUUCAGAAUACGAAAGUAAUAUAUUUUAAACUAAAAAAUACUAAAAUAAAAAAAAUACAAAUUACAAAAAUGAUAUUUGAAAUUUUUUAAAAAGAAAGUUAUUCUCCUUUACUGCUUCCAACCGGACGGAUUGGAUUGCGACGAGUGCUCUGCCGACCCGACAACGUUUGCAUUCCCCGCAUUCAACACUCAAUUAAAAAAAAAAAAAAAACGUUUAACCACAAGCUGGUGGGACCCCCGAUGUUACGAGACGAGGGAGGGAGACGCGGUUCAGAAGUUUUCGAUUCAUUGUCGCACAUCAGUUCUGAUUCAAUUUAUAUAUUAUAAUUAUCUUUUUAAAAUAGAAAAUAAUAUUUUUAAGUUUUAAUAUUAAAAAGUUUAAUAAAUUUUUAAAUAAAAAAUAAAAUUAAUAAUAUAAUAUUAAGGAAAAACUUCAAAAUACUCUCUCUGUGGUUUCACUUUUUCUCACUUUAGUACCCUGUGGUUUAAAGUGUAUCAAGUUAGUACUCUAUGAUUUUGCAGUUUUUCACUUUAUUAUCCUGUAGUUUAAAGUGUAUCAAGUUAGUAUCCUGUGAUUUCGCACUUUCUCACUUUAGUACCCUGUGGUUUAAAAACCAUAGGUUACUAACUUGAAACAAAAAUAAAACCGCAUGUACUAAGUUGAUACAAAAUAAAAUCACAGAAUACUAACUUGAUAUAUUUUAAACCACAGAAUAUUAAAGUGAGAAAGUGUGAAAUCACGGGAUACUAACUUGAUACACUUUAAACCAUAGAGUACUAAAAAUAUAAAAGUACAAAAUCACAGAAAGAAUUUUUGAAAUUUUUUCUAGGGAAAACUUCAAAAACCCCCCCUGUGGUUUCGUGCAUUCUCACUUUGCUACCCUGUGGUUUAAAACGUAUCAAUUUACCCCCAUGUGGUUUCAUUUUUAUCUUUUCGGAAGCUUUUUCGUUAAUAUUUCGUUAAAUUAUAUACAAAAAACUUCAGAUAACCAUCUAUAUUUAUCGAAUAGUCACUUUAGUAUCCUUUAAUUUUAACUUUGUCACUGAUUUAAAAAAAAAUAAUAAUAAAAUUGAUAACAAAAAGAUAAAAACGAAACCACAGGGGGGCAAAUUGAUACGUUUUAAACCACAGGGUAGCAAAGUGAGAAUGCACGAAACCACAGGGGGGGUUUUUGAAGUUUUCCCUUUUUUCUGAUAUUAAAUU
RNAcentral lists this long non-coding RNA (2534 nucleotides) under Ananas comosus (pineapple). Its description in RNAcentral is "long non-coding RNA (ACOM_LNC032165)". Lineage: Eukaryota; Viridiplantae; Streptophyta; Magnoliopsida; Poales; Bromeliaceae. The record is from RNAcentral.